UCGGGGCAAGUGGCAAACGGGUGAGUAACACAUUGGUAAUCUGCCCUCAACACGAGCAUAACUCCGAGAAAUCGGUGCUAAUACUCGAUGCACUCCGACAAUUAAUUUGUCAGAGUAAAGCUCCGGCGGUUGAGGAGGAGCCUAUGUCCUAUCAGCUUGUUGGUGGGGUAAAAGCCUACCAAGGCGACGACGGGUAGCGGGUGUGAGAGCAUGACCCGCCUCAAUGGGACUGAGACACUGCCCAUACUCCUACGGGAGGCUGCAGUCAAGAAUCUUCCCCAAUGGACGAAAGUCUGAGGGAGCGACGCCGCGUGAAUGAAGAAGCCCUUCGGGGUGUAAAAUUCUUUUCUCAGGGAAGAACCAAUGACGGUACCUGAGGAAUAAGAGGCUGCUAAACUCGUGCCAGCAGCAGCGGUAAUACGAGUGCCUCAAGCGUUAUCCGGAAUUAUUGGGCGUAAAGCGUCUGUAGGCGGCUUUAUAAGUUAGAUGUUAAAUCUUAGGGCUUAACUUUGAGACCGCAUCUAAUACUGUAAAGCUAGAGGAUGGGAGAGGCACGUGGAAUUGCCGGUGUAGUAGUCAAAUGCGUUAAUAUCGGUAGGGACGCCAAAUGCGAAGGCAUCAUGCUGGAACACUCCUGACGCUGAGAGACGAAAGCGUGGGUAGCGAAUGGGAUUAGAUACCCCAGUAGUCCACGCCGUAAACGAUGGACACUAGACAUUGGAAGUAUCGACCCUUUCAGUGUCGUUGUAAAUAGUUAACACGUUAAGUGUCCCGCCUGUGUAGUACGACCGCAAGGUUAAGACAUAAAGGAAUUGACGGGAACCCGCACAAGCAGUGGAGCACGUGGUUUAAUUCGAAGAUAAGCGAGGAACCUUACCAGGGCUCGAACCCCAAAUGCAAAGCCUGUGAAAGCAGGAAUCCUUCGAGGGUUUUGGGGAGAUGCUGCAUGGUCGUCGUCAGCUCGUGGCGUGAGCUGUACGGUUAAGUCCGGUAACGAGCGCAACCCUUACCCUAUGUUAUAUUGUCAUAGGGGACUGCCCAGCAUAACUGGGAGGAAGGUGAGGAUGACGUCAGAUCAGCAUGGCUCUUACGUUCUGGGCCACACGCGUGCUACAAUGGCCAAUACAAUGGGCAGCUAAGUCGCAAGGCGGAGCAAAUCCCAUCAAAGUUGGUCUCAGUUCGGAUAGAGGGCUGCAACUCGCCCCCUUGAAGCUGGAAUUGCUAGUAAUCGCGAAUCAGCCAUGUCGCGGUGAAUACGUUCUCGGGUUUUGUACACACCGCCCGUCACGCCAAGAGAGUCGGUAAUGCCCGAACGUCGUUGUAAGAACGUCGGAAGGCAGGAUCGAUGAUAAGGGUGAAGUCGUAACAAGGCA
RNAcentral lists this ribosomal RNA (1373 nucleotides) under metagenome. RNAcentral's name for it is "bacterial SSU rRNA". It matches the Rfam family "Bacterial small subunit ribosomal RNA". The record is from RNAcentral.